This is a long non-coding RNA of Sapajus apella (tufted capuchin), 2811 nucleotides long. RefSeq lists it as uncharacterized. The record is from RefSeq and is a predicted model, not a curated record. The transcript has 3 exons. Lineage: Eukaryota; Metazoa; Chordata; Mammalia; Primates; Cebidae.
UCUCAGGGGAGCUACCAUUUAUGUGGCAUAAACAAGCGCAUGUAUUUGCAUGUGCACGCACACACGUAAUUCAAGAGCCUUGCUUACACAUUGUAUUUAUUUUUAUUGUUUAUAAUUAAGAUAAAUGUAGUGUUGCCACUAUGUGAUAGCAUAGCCCAGACUGACCACAAUAUUUUCCUUAUCUUAUUAGACAACAAAGCUCCCGCCAUUCAGGGAAAGUCAUCUUUUAGUGACCAGAAGAUACUGUAUCCCAGACCCCAUGUGGCAGGACCCAGCUAACUUUCAUGUGUAAAAUCAGUGUCUUCCAUCUGAGGGGCAUUGAGGAGAGAAGGGGCGACGCUGAGGCUUCCAGGUUCAGACCCUGCAUGAGGCGAGGCUCGUUGUGGAGCUUUGCACAGGAGCAAAUGGAGGCCCUCGGGGUUAAAUAUGGAUCCAACUAAUAAGAGGUUUAAAACUCUGGCCUCCCUGGAGAGCUUCCCUAAGACCCUACAGGAGCAGGUCAGUUCUUCUUCAGGAUAACCUAGCACCAGUUCCUGCAGCCUUCCAGCCACAAUCUGUGUGAUUCUUACCGGUUUGAAAGGAAAGCAUUUUAUGUACGACUCCACUCCCAGUUUUCUGAUAAACCUCAGCAUUUUAUUUAGGACACUUAUCUAUUUAUUGCUGCUCCCCAUACAUGGCUCCAUAAACAACUUUUUCAUUAUGCUUACGGUUUCUGUGGUUGGAAGCUCAAGAGGCACCAUGAGGGUGGUUUGUCUCUGCACCAUGAUGUCUGGGACCUCAGCUAGGAAGACCCAAGGCUGGGGGUGACCUGACAGCUAGGGGCUGGAAACACCUGGAGGUGUCUUUACUCCCACGUUUGGUCCUCCGUGCUGGCUGUUGGCUGAGACUUUGGACAAGCUAUCCAUAGGAGCCAUAGGCGGCUCAUCUCAUUGCCAUUCCAUGUGGUCUCUGCACAUGGGCUAAUUUGAGCUUCCUCACAGCAUGGCAGCCGGGUUCCCCAAGCAAAUGUCCUAGAGCAAGGUGGAGCACAAGACCUGGUUAUGACCCAGCCUUCAAAGCCAGGCAGCAUCACUUCUGCUGGACGCUACUGGCCAAGGCAUUCAUGACAGGAGGCAUAGAUGUCAAGGCCCUAGAAGAUUAUAAGGGAUGGGAAGGCUGCAGCUGCUGUUUUGGUACUGUAUAGUCUGCCAUAGCUGGAUUUCCAAAGAUGAAAGGAAAUUAUACACAGAACAUAUUUGUAUUAUUAGGUUCAUAGGAAAGUGAAUAACAGAACAAUUAUUUUCCCAAGCACUUUAUUCACAAACAAGAUACCACAUUAACAAAAUUUAUUUGACCUAAAAUGCCUUCUGUCAGUUCUUCUAAGUUCAUGGCAUUAUUUCAGUAAAAGGUAAAAGGCAUUUUUAACUGAGAUGCUGUUAUACCUAUCAGAUGCCCAUUGGCAUACAUAGCAAUGAUGAUGAACACAUUACCUGAUGGACAUAGAAGGGCUAAGAAUCUUAUGGAUCUUCAAUGGACAAAGUAAACAGCAUUAUGUUGACAAAGCUAAAUGAUAGCCUUAAAUAUUUUAAGAGUGUUAAAAAAUAAGCUAAGUUAGCAUAUUCAAUCAAAUAUCUGCAGCCCGAUGCUAUGUGUCUGUACAAGAAAGGAACAGAAACUUUCUCAACAAAAGAGAGCAGCCUUAAAGCAUUUGCUAAUCUUCCACAUGCAUCUUGUUAUUCUAAAAACAAAGUGUUGGGAAAGGUUACCUAUUUACUUUUGCCACUUAAGUAAAUAAUUUAUCACAUCAUAAGUGCAUUGCACUUGGAAGGCUUCAGUUGGUUGGCCUAGCACAUGGUAAACACCAAUUUGGCAUUGUCUCUUGUUAAGUGGCCAUUUGCAAAAUGUAUUAUCUCAGAUUUGCUGAAAUACUGCAUUUCUAAGUUUGCACUCUGCUCAUUGAUAUAUUUAAAUAACUCUUUUGCCAUUUGGUCCCAAACCCAUGUGCUGAUGUGUCUGCUGGGUGUCAUUGCUUUCCCUGUAUCUGAAGCAGUGCCAUGCUUUUGUUUGGGGGAAACACUACCCUGGGAAGGGAUAGAAAAAUUUCAAAGUCAUACCUUUUUCUGGAGCGUACCCCAUGCCAACUAUGCACUCCAAAGAAUGAGAGUUGAUCAGAAGAUCAGAGAAUAUCCCCCUCCCUGUGCCCUACCACCGUGUGAAUGAGCAUCCAGUAUAAUAACCGUGAGUUGAGCUUGAAAAACUGCAAGACAUAUACUCUGACUGAGCUGCCAGAUAUAGGGGAGCCCAACUGCCAAGAGAGGAGGCAAAAAUAAGGACAUUAGAAGUUUCUGAUACCUAAAUCUACACCAAACAUCAAAUACACUUCAACUGCUGGCCAAAUGAACAUCAGUUCUCACCUGAAACUCAUGUUUAACUCAGUAUCUUCUGCCCUGUACCAUAUGUCUAUAUUUCAACAAAAUAUUACAAGGCAGGCCACAAGUCAAAAAAACACUGAUGAAGCAAAACAAUCAUCAGAACCAAACUCAGAUAUGACUCAGAUGUUGGAAUUAUCAGACAUGUAAUUUAAAACAACUAUGAUCAAUAUGUUAAAGACUUUGAUAGAAGAGGUACACAACAUGUAAGAAUAUGGAUGUCAGCAGAAAGAUGAAAAGAAAUGCCGGAAAUACAAAACAGACACAUUUGACACAGCUGAAGGAAGAAUCGGUGACCUUGAGGAUAGGGGAAAAGGAAACAACCCAAGCUGAAACACAAAGAGAAAAAAGAACGGAAAAUAAAACAGAGCAGGACAGAGAAUUAAAAACAAGCAGGGCAGAG